RNAcentral lists this ribosomal RNA (200 nucleotides) under uncultured bacterium. RNAcentral describes it as "partial 16S ribosomal RNA". It matches the Rfam family "Bacterial small subunit ribosomal RNA", at positions 524 to 724 of the family's 1533-position model. The record is from RNAcentral.
UACGGAGGGUGCAAGCGUUAAUCGGAAUUACUGGGCGUAAAGCGCGCGUAGGCGGCUUGUUAAGUCAGCUGUGAAAGCCCCGGGCUCAACCUGGGAAUUGCAGUUGAUACUGGCAAGCUAGAGUACAGUAGAGGGUGGUAGAAUUUCUUGUGUAGCGGUGAAAUGCGUAGAUAUAAGAAGGAUACCAGUGGCGAAGGCGG